UUUUUUAAUAAUUAUUAGUAAUUUGUUAACAAAUUAUUGUUAUUUCUAGUAUUUUGAAAAAAAUUUUUUUAUUAUAGUUAAAAUGUACUGUGAAGGAAUUUUGAAAUAAUUGAAAUAUUAUUAAUAUUAUAAGAAGGAUUAAUUUUUUGUACCUUGUGUAUCAGGGUUUACUUAUUAUUUGAUAGAAAUUUAUUUUUCCCGAAUUUAGAAGAGCUAAGAAUUUAUUUAUUUUAAUGUAAAAUAAUUAUUUAUAAUAGGUUUUUUGAAAUUAAAUGUUAUUCGUUUCUUUAUAUAUCUGGUUUUUUAAGAAAAAAUUUCAAUUUUAUUAUUCUUUUUUACUUUUUUACUAAUAAUAAGUAAAAGUUGAUUAAUUUAUAUUUUGAGGGAUAAGCUUCAAUUUAUAUUUCUAUAAAUUCUAUAAUUUAAGUGAUUUGUAGGAUUAGAAAUUUUUAUCAUAAAGUUUUUUAUAAUUUUUCACUUUUUAUUUAUAAUUUUAUUGUUUUUAGAUUUUUUAUUAAAAUAAUUUACUGAAUUUUUGGUAAAUGCAAUAAUGGUAAAAUUAGUAAAAUUAUUUUUUAAUGGUUAUUUAUUAUUUUUAAUUUAUUUUAAGGAACUCGGCAAUUUUAAUUUCUGCCUGUUUAAUAAAAACAUGUCUUUUUGAUUUUAAUUUAAAGUCUGGUCUGCCCAAUGAUCAGUUUAAUGGCCGCGAUAUUUUGAUCGUGCGAAGGUAGCAUAAUCAUUAGUUUCUUAAUUAGGAGCUGGUAUGAAUGAUUGGACAAGAAAUUAUCUGUCUUAAUUUAAUUAUUUGAAUUUUAUUUUUUAGUUAAAAAGCUAAAAUUUAUUUGUGGGACGAGAAGACCCUAUAGAGUUUUAUAGUUUUAUUUAUUAUGGAAUUUUGGAAUAAUAAUUCUAUUGUUUUAUAAAAUAUUUGGUUGGGGUGACAGAAAAAUUUAUUAAACUUUUUCUUUUAAAAAUAUAAAUUUAUAGGUUUUUGAUUUAAUAUAUUAAUUAUAAGAUUAAAUUACCUUAGGGAUAACAGCGUAAUUUUUCUAAAGAGUUCAUAUCGAAAGAAAAGAUUGCGACCUCGAUGUUGGAUUAAAGUUAAAAUCUGGUGUAGAAGUUAGAUUAUUUAGUCUGUUCGACUAUUAAAACUUUACAUGAUCUGAGUUUAAACCGGUGUGAGCCAGGUUGGUUUCUAUCUUCAAUUAUUUAAAAUAUUUUAGUACGAAAGGACCAGAUAUUUUUUAUAUUAAAUAUAUAUUUGAGCAUAAUUG
RNAcentral lists this ribosomal RNA (1274 nucleotides) under Agrilinae sp. 1 ACP-2013. Its description in RNAcentral is "16S ribosomal RNA". The stretch from base 1032 to 1190 matches the Rfam family "Archaeal large subunit ribosomal RNA", at positions 2542 to 2701 of the family's 2987-position model. The record is from RNAcentral. Lineage: Eukaryota; Metazoa; Arthropoda; Insecta; Coleoptera; Buprestidae.